UACGAAGGGGGCUAGCGUUGCUCGGAAUCACUGGGCGUAAAGGGCGCGUAGGCGGCCGAUUAAGUCGGGGGUGAAAGCCUGUGGCUCAACCACAGAAUUGCCUUCGAUACUGGUUGGCUUGAGACCGGAAGAGGACAGCGGAACUGCGAGUGUAGAGGUGAAAUUCGAUAGAUAUUCGCAAGAACACCAGUGGCGAAGGCGGCUGUCUGGUCCGGUUCUGACGCUGAGGCGCGAAAGCGUGGGGAGCAAACAGG
RNAcentral lists this ribosomal RNA (254 nucleotides) under uncultured bacterium. Its description in RNAcentral is "partial 16S ribosomal RNA". It matches the Rfam family "Bacterial small subunit ribosomal RNA", at positions 524 to 776 of the family's 1533-position model. The record is from RNAcentral.